Molecule: ribosomal RNA, 497 nt
Filed under: uncultured bacterium
Lineage: Bacteria
Description: partial 16S ribosomal RNA
Rfam family: Bacterial small subunit ribosomal RNA
Source: RNAcentral
GAUGAACGCUGGCGGCGUGCCUAAUACAUGCAAGUCGAGCGAACAGACGAGGAGCUUGCUCCUCUGACGUUAGCGGCGGACGGGUGAGUAACACGUGGAUAACCUACCUAUAAGACUGGGAUAACUUCGGGAAACCGGAGCUAAUACCGGAUAAUAUAUUGAACCGCACGGUUCAAUAGUGAAAGACGGUUUUGCUGUCACUUAUAGAUGGCUCCGCGCCGCAUUAGCUAGUUGGUAAGGUAACGGCUUACCAAGGCAACGAUGCGUAGCCGACCUGAGAGGGUGAUCGGCCACACUGGAACUGAGACACGGUCCAGACUCCUACGGGAGGCAGCAGUAGGGAAUCUUCCGCAAUGGGCGAAAGCUUGACGGAGCAACGCCGCGUGAGUGAUGAAGGUCUUCGGAUCGUAAAACUCUGUUAUUAGGGAAGAACAAAUGUGUAAGUAACUAUGCACGUCUUGACGGUACCUAAUCAGAAAGCCACGGCUAACUACGUG